AGCUUGCAUAUUAUAAGCCACCUAGUGGAUGGCUAGGCUCUGGUAGCGAAGAAGGCCGUGGCAAGCUGCGAAAAGCCCGGGGUAGGUGCAUGUCGACCUUUGAACCCGGGAUUGCCGAAUUAUGCGCCAUGAAUAGUGGCGCACGCAUACGCGGGGAAUUGAAAUAUCUUAGUACCCGCAGGAGAAGAAAGAAAAUCGAUUCCGUAAGUAACGCGAGUGAAACCGGAAGAGGGCAAACUGAAUCCCCCAAGCAAUUGGUGCGGAGAUGUGGUGCGACUUUUAGGCUUGAUGCAUGAUCCGAAGGUUCUGGAAAGAACCGCCAUAGAGAGUGACAGCCUCGUAGGAUAAGUGCGCCAAGUUGUGUCGUGUAUGAGUAGUUCGGCCUUAAUACGUCGAACGAAUACGGGAUCAUUAAAUCCCAACCCUAAAUAUUGACCAGAGACCGAUAGUGAACAAGUAGUGCGAACGAAAGCUGAAAAGCACCCACACGCGUGGGAGCGAAAAGAUCUGAAACUAGGUGGUUACAAGAAGACAAGGCAUGGAAGGGUUGACGCAUAUGGAAGCGAAGUAUCGAAAGGUACAAGCGACAUGUGCUACCAGUGUUUUGUCCUUCUUCUUGAAGCAAGAGCCAGGGAGUGUAUUGGAGUGGCAAGCAGUUUUACUGCGAAGUGAAAGCGAGUGCGCGCACGCAAGGAGGCGCAGGGCACGAAAGUGCCUAAGUCACUACUAUACGACCCGAAGCCAUUGUGAUCUACGCGCGGCCAGGACGAAGGCGAAUUGAUGUUCGCUGGAGGUCCGCAACCUGUCAUGGCAUGUCCUGUUGGGCGAGCUGCGGGUAGGGGCGAUAGACCAUUCGAACAUGGCAAUAGCGGGUCCCCUCUGAAGUAUCUUUAGGAUAGCUCCGGACGAGCUUGCAUAUGCGGUAGAGCGACCGAUUAGAGGGCGCGGAGUCGAAAGGCUCUUCCCUCCCGUCAAACUCCGAAUGCAUAUGCUGCGUAGACUCCGGGAGUCGGCCGCAUUGGGUAAGCUAGUGCGACGAGACCGUAAAGUCGGUGACUAAGGUUAAGGUCCCUAAAUCGUGAUUAAGUGUAUCAAACGAGGAGAUGCUCGUAGACAGUCGGGAGGUAGGCUCAGAAGCAGCCACCCUUUAAAAAACGCGUAAUAGCGUACCGAUUGAGAGUGUCUUCUCCGAAAAUGGACGGGGCUAAAUCAUGUACCGAGACCUUAGAGUUUAAAUGUACUGGUAAGAGGGCGUGCUACACGGCUAGAAGUAGGGUCUUGCGAUCCUAUGGACUGUGUAGUUGAGAAAAUCCUGGUGUUAGUAAUAGCAUAUAAUUGUGAGAAUCAAUUACCCCGGAAGCACAAGGUUUUCCUCGCAAUGAUUGUCAGCGGGGAGUUAGCCGGUCCUAAGUACGCAGCUAAUUACUAGCGUACAAAAGGGUAUCCAGUUAAUAUUCUGGAGCUUGACACGUAGGCGUGGCAACACAAGGUUGAUUUCUGACGCUUGGGGAUAGGGUUGAAAAGAAGUGCAAAUGGCUGUGGAGUCUCAUUAUGAGGAGAAGCAGCUAAAUGAACUAAAAUACCUGAAUUCCUGAGCCCGUGAAAAGGGAAUCAACAACGAUCGUGUCAAUCCGUACCUAGAUCCAGUACAGGUGCUGCUGGCUGAAAAGGCCAAGGGGUGUGGGAAGAACCAAGGUUAGGGAAAUCGGCAAGUUAGUGGCGUAAGUUUUCAAUAAGCCAUGUCUGCACUUAGUAAGAGCAGAUAGCAUUAACUCGGGGACAGCGACUGUUUAUCAAAAACACAACUCGCCGCAAAGCCGUAAGGCUUAGUACAGCGGGUGACGCCUGCUCACCGCUAGU
This 1860-nucleotide ribosomal RNA is filed under the name Microcaldota archaeon. RNAcentral's name for it is "partial 23S ribosomal RNA". It matches the Rfam family "Archaeal large subunit ribosomal RNA", at positions 1 to 1965 of the family's 2987-position model. The record is from RNAcentral. Lineage: Archaea; Nanobdellati; Microcaldota.